Molecule: RNA transcript, 1074 nt
Organism: Daphnia magna
Lineage: Eukaryota; Metazoa; Arthropoda; Branchiopoda; Diplostraca; Daphniidae
Gene name: intraflagellar transport protein 74 homolog
Exons: 7
Source: RefSeq, a predicted model, not a curated record
AGGGGAAGCCUUUGUUCUCGAAAUGGAAAGACCUCAAACUCGGCGUGGAAGCUCCGAUACCAAUUCCUUUUGGGAACAACAUCAGCAACAAUUGGAAGCCAAUACCAGUCAAAGUGGAGGAGACGGUGCAGUAAUCACUUCGUCGUCCAGACCAUUAACAAGAAUGGCGAACGAGUACGGAGUCCAAAAAUCAAGUGGAAUGAUGUCUGCUGGAUUCGCACAACGAAUGUCUAGCGUCAAUCGCCCUGGAUCUCGUGCUGGAACAGCUGCAUCAGGAGCCAAUGCUAUGAGAGCAGUCACGGCGUACGGUCAUAAUACGGCAGCAGCCGACCGACCAACAACUCAGCAAGGACUGGGAGGUUUAAAAACAGCUUCACGUGGACUACCUCAAAGGCAAAUACAAGAUAAAUCUUAUUAUUUGGGAGUGUUGCGGGCCAAAAUGACGGAGGUGAACGCAGAAAUGGGGAAACUUACCAAGGGCAUUGAGAAAAACAACAAAGAAUUGCAAAGUCUACCGUCAUUGGAAAAGCGAGUGAAAGAAAUGGCCGCGGAAAUAACGGAUUUGCAGAGUCAGGCUGCCGAUUUGAAUUUACUUCAAGAAAAGAUCGCCAUCAGCAGUGAUGCCUCGCAGAUGGAAAUAGAACUUCAGUCGUUGCUGAUUCAGAAUGAACGCGAAGCUCACGAAGCCGAAGAUAUUUUUGAGAUUGUCAAAGCAGUCAAGGAGAAAAUUGCAUCGCUAGAACGGGAGAUUCAAAUGGAAAACGACGAGGCAGAGAAAUUGAUCACAUCUUUAACACCAGAAGAUCAGGAAAAUACUCGCAGUUAAAGACUGAGCAGAAUAGAUUGGCUAAGGAAGUCGAAAAUACAACUACGCAGUUAACUGUGUUGGAAGCUCGUGCUCGAAAAUUGGAAGAAGAAUUACGUCUCUCACCCGCAAAAGAAGAAAUGUUUCAGCUGCGCCAGUCUCUAUCUCAGUUGGAAACCAAAUACGAGCAGAUGAACGAACAAGAUGCAAAACGUCUGGAUCCGGAAGGGGAGCGAGCGCAGCUGGUGGCCAAUGUCAAGAGUGACAAU